Molecule: ribosomal RNA, 250 nt
Filed under: uncultured bacterium
Lineage: Bacteria
Description: partial 16S ribosomal RNA
Rfam family: Bacterial small subunit ribosomal RNA
Source: RNAcentral
GCGAGAAUAUUCGACAAUGGACGAAAGUCUGAUCGAGCGACGCCGCGUGUACGAUGAAGUUUUUCGGAAUGUAAAGUACUUUUAUGAGGGAAGAACGUUGACGGUACCUCAUGAAUAAGUGGUUGCUAACUCUGUGCCAGCAGCAGCGGUAAUACAGAGACCACAAGCGUUAUCCGGAAUUAUUGGGCGUAAAGGGUGAGUAGGUGGUAUUGUUAGUCGGGUUUGAAAGAUCGUGGGCUCAACCCAUGAU